RNAcentral lists this ribosomal RNA (700 nucleotides) under uncultured Providencia sp. Its description in RNAcentral is "bacterial SSU rRNA". It matches the Rfam family "Bacterial small subunit ribosomal RNA", at positions 801 to 1502 of the family's 1533-position model. The record is from RNAcentral. Lineage: Bacteria; Pseudomonadati; Pseudomonadota; Gammaproteobacteria; Enterobacterales; Morganellaceae.
UGUAAACGAUGUCGAUUUGGAGGUGUUCCCUGAGGAGUGGCUUCCGGGGCUAACGCGUUAAAUCGACCGCCUGGGGAGUACGGCCGCAAGGUUAAAACUCAAAUGAAUUGACGGGGGCCCGCACAAGCGGUGGAGCAUGUGGUUUAAUUCGAUGCAACGCGAAGAACCUUACCUACUCUUGACAUCCAGAGAAUUUAGCAGAGAUGCUUUAGUGCCUUCGGGAACUCUGAGACAGGUGCUGCAUGGCUGUCGUCAGCUCGUGUUGUGAAAUGUUGGGUUAAGUCCCGCAACGAGCGCAACCCUUAUCCUUUGUUGCCAGCACAUUAUGGUGGGAACUCAAAGGAGACUGCCGGUGAUAAACCGGAGGAAGGUGGGGAUGACGUCAAGUCAUCAUGGCCCUUACGAGUAGGGCUACACACGUGCUACAAUGGCGUAUACAAAGAGAAGCGACCUCGCGAGAGCAAGCGGAACUCAUAAAGUACGUCGUAGUCCGGAUUGGAGUCUGCAACUCGACUCCAUGAAGUCGGAAUCGCUAGUAAUCGUAGAUCAGAAUGCUACGGUGAAUACGUUCCCGGGCCUUGUACACACCGCCCGUCACACCAUGGGAGUGGGUUGCAAAAGAAGUAGGUAGCUUAACCUUCGGGAGGGCGCUUACCACUUUGUGAUUCAUGACUGGGGUGAAGUCGUAACAAGGUAACCA